UUAGUUCAAACGUCUGUUCUUAGGCAUGGGACUUGACUUGCUAGCUUACGGCGCAUUUAUUGCUUGUACAGGGCCUCCAUGCUAGUGACAAGACUUGACCUUUAUGCUUAUGACAAACAUUCCAUCAAUCAUUCGAAUAAGAUCUGUGCAGGCGAUCUCUUGGAAGAAGUGACCAUGGAGGAUGUUUCCUUGUGGUUAAGAGGCUCGUGCAUCAACUUCGGGGCUUCGUCCAUUUGAGGACCUCGGCUACAUCCAAAAGCUUCCACGCCUCGGGUCAUGGGCCUCGGUUAGAAGCACUUCGGAUAUAACCCACCUCGGCAAUGUGGGCCACGUCGGCAGGAAUGCCACGUGGAUCAGGAUGAGUGGACCAUUGGCCCAGGUGGGUAGGACAGGUGUGACAACACGCAAUAAUAGUCCCCCAAGUCCAAGUAUAAUCAUUAGUGUAAUGCGUGGACUUUAAUGGAGUAAAAGUUGAAAGAAUUUUUUGAACUCCCAAAUAAUAGUCCCCCAAGUCCAAGCAUAGAUAUUUAUAUCAUGGUUGGAGUUAGAGAAGUUUUGCUGUGGGUGAAUGAUGAAGAAGCCGAGGUGGUUGAGGAACCGAACCUGCGAGGCUUGAACGCUGAAUGGCAUGUGAAGAAGCCGAGGUGGUUGAGGAAACCGAACCUGCAAGGCUUGAACGCUGAAUGGCAUGUGAAGAAGUCGAGGUGGUUGAGGAACCGAACCUGCGAGGGCAUCUGAAGAAGCCGAGGUGGUUGAGGAACAGAACCUGCGAGGCUUGAACGCUGAAUGGCAUCUGAAGAAGCCGAGGUGGUUGAGAAAACCGAACCUGCGAGGUUUGAACGCUGAAUGGCAUGUGAAGAAGCCGAGGUGGUUGAGGAACCGAACCUGCGAGGCUUGAACGCUGAAUGGCAUGUGAAGAAGCCGAGGUGGUUGAGGAAACCGAACCUGCGCAGCUUGAAUGCUGAAUGGCAUGUGAAGAAGCCGAGGUGGUUGAGGAACCGAACCUGCGAGGCUUGAACGCUGAAUGGCAUGUGAAGAAGCCGAGGUGGUUGAGGAAACCGAACCUGCGAGGCUUGAACGCUGAAUGGCAUCUGAAGAAGCCGAGGAGAAGUCGAGGUCCAAUGGUAAUGAUUAUGCCUUGGUCUCUGUGCCAAUGAUUUGAUGUUUUGUGCUUGUUUUCGAGGAAUGGUAGCUGAACCGUUAUGACUUCCAAGGCGCUGGCGCCGACAAAUUAAAAAUGCAAUUAUGAGGGCAGCUAGCGUUUCUAGAAGCAGACGCGUUGGAGAGGUGCGUGUGAGGUACGCAUAGAUCAGAGGCGUAGGAUUUAAAAAACUGUUUGAAUUCAACGCCUCGGAUUGGAUCUGAAAUGGAGGGUUCGGAUUGACUGAGAUUUGAUCUGACGGGUGGGGUUCGUCUUGGAUCCUUAUAAAAGGGGAGAAAAUCCCGAUUUCCAGGAUUUUUUGAACACUUUGCAUUCUCAAAUUCUCUCAAAUCUCCCAUUUUUCGGCGUCGAGGUUGUCUGCGAUUAGAUUCCGACCAGUCUCCGUUUGUGUUGAACUCUUUUAGGUAUUGUUUGCAUAAAAAAAAAACGUUGUUAUUGUCUUUCUUCUGAAAAAAUGGAGUCCACUUCAGGUAGGGAGCUUGUUACAGUGACGUCUUUAGACCAUGGGGUAGGUCAUGGGGGGACGUCCGAGGUGGAUAGGUAUGCCAUGGCCAAGGAGGCUGUGGAUUAUACCCAGGAGUGGGGGGCUUCUAGAGUGCCCUCAAACAUGACGGGGAAGAGGUUGGGGGAACUUAGGGAAAGGUACAGUGUGCCUCAUAACAUAGAGAUGUUAGUCCCCGAACCGAACGAGAGGGCCUCCGGCUGCGUGGCCGUGAGUGAAUACCUGUUCAAAGCAGGUAUGCGUCUUCCUUUGCACCCCUUCUUUAGGGUGGUGCUUAGAAAAUUCAUGCUGUCGCCGACCCAGGUUCUGCCGAAUGGGUGGAACCAGCUGGUCGGCUCGUACUUCCUGUGGAAGGAAGUGUCACUUGGGGAGGACAUGCCUCUUCAUAUCUUCAUGACCCUGUUCCAGCCCCGGGUGAUUGGGAAGGAGUCAAGGGGGUGGUACUACCUCACGCCUUGAGGGGCUCACGCACCCUUUGUGGUGGGACUUCCUUCCUCUAUCAAGGGGUGGAAGGAGUCCUGGUUCUGGGUGCGAGGUAAAUGGCAGGCAGUGGAGGGUGACAAAGCCCUGUCAUGCACAGUGUUGACCAAGUACUACGAAGCUCGUGAGUCUCCCGACCUCUGCUUGUGUUUUGAAAUCAGAAUAUAUAUUCAUCUAACUGUUGGAGGUUCGUCUUUGCAGAUAGUAGUACGAGGUUCGAGCUCAGCAGGGAGGAAUUCGAGGUGAUAGAGGACAUUUACAAGAGGCCUCUGAAGCUUCGGCACUUCGAUCACCUGAUUGAUAGAAGCAGAUACUUCUUGGACUUCGAGCUGAUGGCAUCCAGAGGUAUGGGGCCCCAACACUUGAUGUUUUUAUCCUUAAUGUUUCUUAUGCUGAUGCUAAUCUGACAUGUUGUGCAGACAAAUUCAAGAAGAGGGAGUACCCAGCUCCGGACAUGGCCUCCAUCUUGAAGGCCACUUCUACUGCGAAGGCGAGGCCCCUGAAGCCUGGGUCCAGUGGAGCAAAGGAGGUCCGAGGCAGGGUUGAGCGCCUGUCCAAGGACUGCACUCCCAGGGCCUCGGAGGAGGCAUCUACUCAGAGGCCAGAGAAGCCUAAGGAGCCUCGGGGCAAGGAGAAAGUCUCUGAGGAGACUAAGAAGAGGAAGCUGGUGCACAUCUCCAGCUCAGCUGGCAAGUUUGGGACUUCAGUGUCCCAUAGGGCAGAACAGACUGGAGAGCCGAAACUUCUUGCUGCAGCCUCUAAGGCCAUCAAAAUGGAGAUGGUAAGAGAGGUGGAGGCUGAAGAGGCCAGAGAAGAGGCUGCAAGGCGAGCUGCAGAAGCCGUCGAAGAGGAGGCGGUGAAGGAGAAGCCGGUUCGGAAGAAGGGGAAGUCUCCAAACUUCCUAGCUGGGAGGGAGGAUGAGCUGGCCCCAGCCUUGGUGGAGGCUCUCCCUGAGGAAAUCAGAAGUGCCACCGAGAGCUUUUACAAGUUCUGGACGGAGAGGUGGCAGCUUCAUGCCUCGUCUUGUGAUGCCACCGACCUCACGAGGGCACUGGUGAGCCAAAGCGCUCGGACCUUUGGCCUCGCGCUCGAAUGCAGGGAGGCAUUAAGUGAAUUCCAGACAAGGACUCACGCCUCGGAGGGGAAGGCUGCCUCCCUUGCAGAGGAGGUCAAAGCUGCUAAGGCCGAGGCCGAAGAAGCCAAAGCACAGAGGGUUGAAGAAGCGGCGAAGCUCGAGUCUGCUUUGACCCAAAUUGAGGCCCUAAAGAGGGAAGUAAAUGAGUCACAGUGCGAGGUGGCCUCCUUGACAAAGAAGGUGGAGGUCUCCAAUGAGCACCAAAAGGUGACUGCUGAGGCUCUUGAGCAGGCGAAUCUCUCCUUGGUCGGCGCUCGAGAUGCCUAUCAGUUUCUCGAAGGCCAGGCGAAGUGGUACAUGAACGACGCCUCGGUUGCCAGAGAAGAGGCCCGAAUUGCACCGGAAGAGGCGGUGAAGGCAUACAUCGCCAAUUUCCACACUACAGAGGAGUAUAAAAGCUUCAGCGCGUACUGGAGGAACUUCGCCUAUGCCGAAGUGCUGGAGAGGGCAGAGGAGCUUUAUCCCAACUUGGACCUGGCACAACUUAGGUCCGAAUUUGUGGAUGAGGUUCCUCAGACCCCAGCUGAGGAGGUGCAGGGUGAAGAGGCAGUUGAUGCCGAAGCGCCAAAUGCUGAGGCAGAGGAAGCAACUACUAAUGCCCAAGUUGCCGAACCCCCAAGUGCUGAGGCGCCUCCUCCAUCUAGCCAGGCUUAGAUUAGGUUUUCCUUUUCAGUACCUUGUGUAAUGGCCAGAGGCCCUCCUUUGUAAUCCCUUUUGAAUAUUAAUAUAAUGUUUUUCUUCAUUCAUUGUUGUUCUUUAUCCAAGUUUUUGUGCCUCGUUAAACAAGCGGACUAGAAGUUGAUUAGAGCACGAACUAAAUAACUUUAACUUGGUACCCUGACAUUAACCAGUCAAUUGUAUAAGCCUCGGACUUAAGCAAAUGAACAUAACUUAAGGAGAUGAACUAUUGGAGCCUCGGACUUAAGCAAAUGAACAUAACUUAAGGAGAUGAAUUGUUGGAGCCUCGGACUUAAGCAAAUGAACAUAACUUAAGGAGAUGAACUGUUGGAGCCUCGGACUUAAGCAAAUUAACAUGACUUAAGGAAAUGAACAAUGUGAACCUCGGAUUUAAGGUUGUGGCUUCUCCCUUCGGCGUUCAGCAAGGCCAAAGGGAGGCAUGUGCUAGCGCCUCGGAGUUCAAGCGAGCUGGCCCAGUGGUGGGUCCCGAGCCUCUCCUCCGAGGUGAUGACGCAUCCCAGACAUGGUGGAUGAUGCAGCCAUGUUGAGGCUUCUCCUCUUGGCGUUUAGCAAGGCCAAAGGGAGGCAUGUGCUAGCGCCUCGGAGUUCAAGCGAGGUGGCCUAGUCGUGGGUCCCGAGCCUCUCCUCCGAGGUGACAACGCAUCCCAGACAUGGUGGAUGGUGCAGCCAUGUUGAGGCUUCUCCCCUUGGCGUUUAGCAAGGCCAAAGGGAGGUAUGUGCUAGCGCCUCGGAGUUCAAGCGAGGUGGCCCAGUGGUGGGUCCCGAGCCUUUCUUCCGAGGUGACGACGCAUCCCAGACAUGGUGGAUGGUGCAGCCAUGUUGAGGCUUCUCCCCUUGGCGUUCAGCAAGGCCAAAGGGAGGCAUGUGCUAGCGCCUCGGAGUUCAAGCGAGGUGGCCCAGAGGUGGGUCCCGAGCCUCUCCUCCGAGGUGAUGACGUAGUAUGACGAUUUAAUCAACGCAUUUUAUUGAGCCAUAGAAAUAUUACAAAGGCUGGGAAAGUCAUCCAGCAUGAUACAAUUCAUUGAUAAAAGAUUCUGAGGUGUUCAAUGUUCCAUGGACGGGGUUGUGCCUUGCCGUCCAUGUCUUCAAUCCAGUAGGUUCCAGGUCGGAUUUCUUCUCUGAUCUUGUAUGGACCUUACCAGUUCGGCCCCAGGGAGCCGGAACCGGGUUCUUUUGAAGAUGGGAAGACCCUCCUGAGCACAAGAUCGUUGAUUCGGAAAGACUUCUUCUUGACUUUAGAGUUGAAGUACCUUGUCAUCUUCCUUUGGUAGGUACCUAGCCUCAGCUGGGAGUCGUCCCUCCUCUCCUCAAUGAAAUCGAGGUCUAGUCUCAGGAGCUCGUCGUUGGUCACUUCGCUGAAGUGCAGACGCCGUGGAGAUGGGAGUCCGACCUCCACGGGGCUCAUCGCCUCAGUCCCAAAAGCCAUGAGGAAAGGGGUCUCCCCGGUUGGGGUCCUGGUGGUGGUUCGAAUUGCCCAAAGUACUUGGGGCAGCUCAUCAACCCAAGCUCCUUUGGACACAUCAAGCCUCCUUUUCAGGACGUGCUUGAUUGUCUUGUUUACGGCUUCGACUUGGCCAUUAGCUUGUGGGUGGUGAUGUGUAGAGAAGUGCUUCUUUAUGCCAAGAUCUUCACACAGUUCUCUAACCUUCUUGUUAUCGAAUUGCCUGCCAUUGUCUGAGACGAUCGAGUAGGAAAUUCCGAACCGGCAAAUGAUAUUCUUCCAUAGGAACUUGGAGGUGUUUGCUUCUGUGAUUUUUGCCAGUGGUUCAGCUUCGACCCACUUCGUGAAGUAAUCAAUGGCCACUAUUGCGAAACUUGCGCCUCCUCUACCCUUUGGUAGAGGACCUAUGAGGUCCACACCCCACUUUGAGAAAGGCCAGGGGCUGGAGACUGCAGUCAAAUCCUGUGAUGGUCGUCUUUGAACGGGAGAGAAUCGUUGGCACUUAUCACAUUUUCGCACAAAUUCGAGGGCAUCACGUUUCAGGGUAGGCCAGUAGUAUCCUUGCCUCACUAUUUUUUGUGCCAGAGAUAGGCCUCCAGAGUGGUUGCCGCACACUCCCUCGUGGACUUCUCUUAGUAUGUAGGUAGCCUCUUCUCCUUCGACGCAUCGUAAGAGUGGAGAGGAGAAACUUCUCUUGUAGAGAAUGUCAUUGAUGAAGAGGAAAUGGGCUGACCUCCUUCUCACCUUGUAAGCCUCAUUCUUGUUGGUGGGUAGCACCUGGUCUUUCAGAUAUGCUAUAAUUGGUUGCAUCCAGGUGGGAGUUCCACCGACCCACAUGACAUUAGGGGCCUCGGUAGAAGGCAGUAGGAGGUGCUCGAUAUGCACUACAGUGAGUAGCUCUGAGUCUUUGCUACUAGCCAGCUUCGAGAGUGCAUCCACAUGAGCAUUUUCGAUGCGGAAAAUCUGGGUUAAUUCAAACUUUUCAAAGGAUGGGAUGAGGCUCAUCACCAUUUUCAGAUAGGAGGCCAUUGUUCUGUCUUUGGCUGAGAAAUUACCAUUGACUUGGCUAACAACCAGCUGGGAGUCGCUAUUGACGAGUAGCUUCUUUACUUGCAUUUCCUUGGCCAGUCUGAGGCCUGCAAGGAGUGCUUCAUACUCUGCAACAUUGUUGGUAGCUUUGAAUCCGAACCUCACGGUCGAGGUGAGUUUGUGACCCUCGGGGCUGUUGAGGACAACCCCGGCACCUGACCCGACUUCCCCAGCCAAGCCAUCAACGAAGAGGCUCCACGUGGGGGGUUCGACGGGCUCCAUGAUUUCAUCCACCUCGGGUAGGUUGGCGAAUUCAGCAACAAAGUCUGCUAAAGCUUGCCCUUUGAUCGCUGCCCUUGCUUUGAACACAAGGUCAAAUUCACUUAGUUCCACUGCCCAUUUCAACAAUCUUCUCGAGGCAUCGGGCUUCUGGAGUACUUGCCUCAGGGGAAAAUUUGUAAGUACAUGGAUGGUAUGAGCUUGGAAGUAAGGUCUCAAUUUCCUAGAGGCCGUGAUUAAGGCCAAAGCAAGUUUCUCCAUAUCGGGGUAUCGGGUUUCCGGCGAUAGGAGUGCUUUACUCGUAUAGUAGACAGGAAGUUGGGUGGACCCUUCUUCUCGAAUCAAAACCGAACUGAUGGCGUCAUUGGAGACGGCAAGAUAUAGUUGCAAGAUGUCGCCGGGCUUCGGCUUGGAGAGGAGGGGGGCCUGCCCCAAGUGCCUUUUCAAUCCUUUGAAGGCCUCUUCAUAUUCCUCAGUCCAUUGGAAUUUCUUCCUAGCCUUGAGCACUUUGAAGAAUGGGAGGCACUUGUCAGUUGCUUUGGAGACGAAGCGACUAAGUGCUGCCACUCGUCCAGUUAAGCUUUGCACCUCCUUUGGCUUUUGAGGGGACCUCAUCUGGCACAGAGCCUCAAUCUUCUCGGGAUUUGCUUCAAUUCCUCGCUGGUUGACCAUGUACCCCAAGAACUUGCCAGAAGCCACCCCAAAGGCACAUUUCAAGGGGUUAAGCCUCAUCUUGUACCUUCUCAGGAUUUGGAAGGUGUUGUUGAGGUGCGCUAUGUGGUUCUCUACUUCUAGGCUCUUUACCAGCAUGUCGUCCAUGUAGACCUCCAUUGUCUUGCCAAUGAGGUCGGUAAACAUUUUGUUCACGAGUCUUUGGUAAGUCGCUCCGACGUUCUUCAACACGAAGGGCAUCAUUCUAUAGCAAUAGAGGCCUCGAUCCGUGAUGAAAGAGGUCUGCUCCUCAUCGGCCGGGUGCAUGGGGAUCUGGUUGUAGCCGGAGUAUGCAUCCAUGAAGCUCAACAACUCGUGCCCAGCCGUGGAGUCCACCAAUUGGUCAAUCCUUGGAAGCGGAAAGCUAUCAUUCGGGCAAGCUCUAUUAAGGUUGGUAAAGUCGAUGCAUACUCUCCAUUUGCCAUUGUGUUUCUUAACCAAGACCGGGUUGGAGACCCACCUCGGAUAGGUGGCCUCCUUGACGAAGCCAUUUUGGAUGAGCUUCUGAACCUCUUCCUUUAGGGCCUCAUACCUCUCUAGAUUGAGAGCUCUCCUUUUUUGUCUAUGCGGGGCAAAAUUAGGAUCAAUUUUCAAGUGAUGGCAGCUGACCUUGGGGUCUAUGCCCACCAUGUCCUCAUGCCUCCAGGCAAAGAUGUCCAGGUUCUUGUCUAGGAAGUCCUUAAUCUUUUCUCUCAAAAUGUUGGAUAAGCCCCUGCCUACUUUCAACACCUUGGAUGGAUCUCGAGGGUCGGCUGAGAAGCUCUCAAGUUCCUCUACAGGGGAUGCUUGAGGCUCAUGUUCCGUUAUGCGGGGGUCGAUCUCAUCAACGAUCAGCACCUCCUGAAUAAGCGGUGCAUCAAUCAUAUCAACAUCUUCCUGGUCAGUGGGAGCGUCACCUGGGACAUCCGCCAUGACCACAUCAGCUAUGAUCACGUGGACGUUCCGGGGCUCUACCUUCUUAAUGGAGCUCAGAUAGCACUCUCGCGAACCUCUCUGGUCGCCUCUCACCGUUGCCACCCCAUUUUCUGUUGGGAAUUUCAUGCAUAGGUGGUGGAUGGAGGUGACCGCUUCCAAUUCCUUUAGGGCUGGUCUGCCCAAGACUCCGUGGUAAGCCGACCGGCUGUCGACUACAAGGAAUUCCAUAAAGUUCAUUGUAGUUUGAGGAGAUUCUCCCAUUUCUACUGCCAGUGUUAUCUUUCCUCUCGGAGUAAUGCUAUCUCCGGUAAAUCCGUACAAUGGAGUGGUGGUGGGCGUCAACUGAUGGUCCAAUAUCAUCUUGUCAAAGGCGGACCCGAAUAAGAUGUUGACGGAGCUGCCGUUGUCGACUAGCAUUCGUUUGAGCCCAUUUCGGGCUAUGACAGCCCUCACCACCAGCGCAUCGCAGUGGGGGUAAUGAACUCCUUCGGCGUCUUCCUGGGUGAAGACAGUGGGUGGUACUUGGUUUCUUCGAGAGCUAUUAUCCACAAUGUAGCUCGUCAGAGGGGGGUGCUUAGCCUCCCUAGCAUAGUUUCUUUUGGCGUUCCGUGUUUCACCGCCAACAUAAGGGCCUCCAAAUAUGGUAUCUAUCUCGUGGAUAGGGGCCUCAUCUUGAGCUUGCCUAUUUUUUCGGUGUCUACGCCCUUCCCUGGGCCUCUCUGUGUCUUGCUCUCUUCGCCUUGGGGAGACAUCCCUUUGACGAGGAGCGGCCGCCUCACGCCCAUGUCGGUUGUCUUGCCUGGGCGGGAGCCUGUUCGCCUGGGGCGAGUUAUGUCUUUCCCUGGCGGGUUCUUGCCGGGAGCGGUGUGCAUAAUCUCUGCAAUCCGCGGUGUCGUGCCCGUAGGACCUAUGGUGCAAACAGUAUCCAGGGAGGUUCGGAUUGGACCUAUUUCUAGGUGCAAAACCUCGGCCUCGACCUCUUCCUCUACGGGGUCCCUGCUCGGCCUGUAUCUGAUGUGGGUCAGCGGUUGGGUUGACAUCCUCAUACGCCAAGGUUGGCACCGCGUUCAGAGUUGUGGUGGCCAGGGCUUGGCCGGAGUUCUCAUUUCCAGAUCGGUUCAUCUGGUAGUCCAUGAGGUGGGAGGUCGGUCCCCUACCUCGCUGUCUUUGAGGAGGUGGGAGGCCCCUGCUCGCCCUGUUCCUAUGCUCAAUCAAUUCUUCAUUGAUUAUCUCCCUUCUCAUCAUCUCUAGUAGGGCGUCAUAAGUGGUUGGGUCUUGAUUCUGCACAUCCCUCCAGAAUAGGGUGUUCAUGUUCAAUCCUCCUCUCAAUACAGAUAGUGCUUCUCUGUCGGUGACUUGUACACAGUAGGUCAUCUCGUCGGUGAAGCGGGAUAGGAAGCUUUUCAAGGACUUGCCAUGCGCCUGUCUCAUGUCUUGAAGAUGCUGAAUGGGGGCCUCUCCUUCCUUGCUCACUGCAAACCUUUUCAAGAAGGUAGUUUUGAACUCGGGCCAACUUCAGAUGCUCCCAGAUGGUAGCCUACUAUACCAGAUUUCAGCCGCUCCACUGAGGGUUAAAUGGAAUGCUCUGCACUUCACAGCUGGGGUGGCGGCCCUCGGGCUCAUGUGAGUUUUGUAAGCGUUGAGGUGCUUUUCUGGGUCACCUCUCCCAUCAUACUUUGGUAUUUUUGGCAUGACAUAGUGGCUCGGGACCUGGGCAUUUCUCAGUUCUCUUGGGAACGGCAGGUUCUCAUCAUCAUCGUCCAAGUCACAAGACCUUUGUUGCUCAUCAGAAUCGUAGUCUUCGGCCUCGUACCUCGGUUGUUGGUGAGAAGGGCCGGUUCCUAGCCUCUUCUUCCCUCCUUUGCGGCCUACUUCUAGGCGGGACAGCACGGGGGGCAUUUUCAUGCCUUCUCUCCGACUGCUGGGGCAUAGGAGGUGGAGGCUGUGGCCUCGUCCGAGGCUGCUGAGCCUGCUGUUGACUGGGUCUUAGUUCGGCAGGGUUGAUUCUGUCAAAAACACUUCCUGCUCUCCUCUGUCUUGGGUCUUGCUCAUAUGGAGGUGGAAAGUUAUCAGGGCUCAUUUGGAACUCGGAGGGUCGGUCAGAUGCAUAGUUGGAGGAAAUGACAACUCCCACUUCCCUCUCGAAUGGGCUUUCACCUCGGCCAUAGUCUGGCGAGGCAGCCCUAUGACUUUGGACCUCGUCCUCUUGCUGAUAGUGCCCAUGGGGGGCAUAUGGAGGAAUGGGGAAACCUCCUUGGCCUUGCAUCUGGGCCAUGAGCUCCCUCAUGGCCAAGUUUUGGUUGGCUAUAUCCCUCAUGUUGGCUGCCAUGGUAGCCAUUUCUCUUGAUAGUCGUACUGUCACACGCAUCCCACCUCUCCUUUGGUGGUGGUGGAGCCUCUGCCGAGCUGCUGGGACAGCAGGCUGGGGAGGCACAUUCGUAUUUUCUCUUACCCUCCUUGGGGGAGUAUCUUCGUUAGAACUCAUUUUUUCCUUUAUCAAACUUAGAUUUCUCCACGUGGUAGGGGUUCUUCCUGUUCUUUUUCAAGAACAAAUCCUUUUUCAAGGGGGUUUGCCCAAAGCUUUUUCCACAAGGUUGCUCGUGGUUAUGGUAUGGUUUUCCACAGACGGCGCCAAUCUAUUGACCCCAAAAAGUGCGCCAACAGAUGCCGAUCCCACCCGCGCUUGCGUGGGCGAAUGUCCAAUACGCUAAGACACGUGGACGGUCUAAACGAGCGGUUCAAAGGGGCGUGGGAGUAGCCCAACGACGCGGGACGGUGACGUUAGGAAUCCGGCGGGUUAUUCGUAAUCCGGUUGUACAAUAAUUACCAACCGGUGCUUGUAAAUGUAUGUGUAAAAGUGUAUAAAUUCGAUUUAUGUAUUGCAAGUAACUGAGAGAGUUGAGUAAAUGUAGUCUUUAGUAUUGAUUCUUACAUUAGCCUUUGACAUUAUACAAUGGGGGUAUUUGUAGUGAUACAUAUGGAAUGGGAGCCCUUGGAUGAAGUGGCACGUGGCCUCAUCUCCUUAGUUCAAACGUCUGUUCUUAGGCAUGGGACUUGACUUGCUAGUUUACGGCGCAUUUAUUGCUUGUACAGGGCCUCCAUGCUAGUGACAAGACUUGACCUUUAUGCUUAUGACAAACAUUCCAUCAAUCAUUCAAAUAAGAUCUGUGCAGGCGAUCUCUUGGGAGAAGUGACCAUGGAGGAUGUUUCCUUGUGGUUAAGAGGCUCGUGCAUCAACUUCGGGGUUUCGUCCAUUUGAGGACCUCAGCUACAUCCAAAAGCUUCCACGCCUU
RNAcentral lists this long non-coding RNA (11646 nucleotides) under Olea europaea (common olive). RNAcentral's name for it is "long non-coding RNA (OEUR_LNC013343)". The record is from RNAcentral. Lineage: Eukaryota; Viridiplantae; Streptophyta; Magnoliopsida; Lamiales; Oleaceae.